Molecule: small RNA, 561 nt
Filed under: Pongo abelii (Sumatran orangutan)
Lineage: Eukaryota; Metazoa; Chordata; Mammalia; Primates; Hominidae
Description: retained intron
Source: RNAcentral
AAACAAAUCCCAAGGAGGCAGGAGAAGGUGAUGGCUGCGGGUGCAUUUCCAGCACCGGAGGAGGAAACUCUACCUGACUUAGAAGGGAAUGUGGCGACGUGGACUCUGGGUUGAAUGGGACAGGGUCAGAGAAAGCAGGGCCCCUGCAGGCUGGGCCUGACCAAUCUGUGUCCCCCGCGACACUGCGCAGGUGACUGCUGGCUUCUGGCCGCCAUUGCCUCCCUGACCCUGAACGAAGAGCUGCUUUACCGGGUGGUCCCUAGGGACCAGGACUUCCAGGAGAACUAUGCGGGAAUCUUUCACUUUCAGUUCUGGCAGUAUGGAGAGUGGGUGGAGGUGGUCAUUGACGACAGGCUGCCCACCAAGAACGGACAGCUGCUCUUCCUACACUCGGAACAAGGCAAUGAAUUCUGGAGUGCCCUGCUGGAGAAAGCCUAUGCCAAGCUUAAUGGUUGUUAUGAGGCUCUCGCUGGAGGUUCAACGGUGGAGGGGUUUGAGGAUUUCACAGGUGGCAUCUCUGAGUUUUACGACCUGAAGAAACCACCAGCCAAUCUAUAUCAG